GGACCGUGCAUGAGCUCCCGUCUCAGAGGGUUAAGAACACUUCCUGCCAUGCACCUGGCUCGUCGUAGCAUGCCUCCCGUGUGGCUUGUAGUGCUCCAUGCACGCCUUCACCUUGUGCCCAGGGCUCCAGGCCUUUCCCAUCUAUAUGGUGACAGGCAAGCCCUGGGCAGACGGCUAAAAGGAACCAAAAGGGGUGCUGCGGGAUAAGGAAGGGCACAACCCCCCGGAAUCCUUCACUCGUGGCACUGGAUACUCUGACCUUGCGGGAUGGACGUUUGCUGAACAAGACUUGCUUUGCUUUGCCUUCAGGAACUCAAUGGCUGGGCGAGAAUUACACCUGAUAAGUUAUGAGCUGUCAAUCAGGAAGCAUCUCAUUGCACAAGCAGUGUAUGAUGUCCUUGGGAGAAUGGGAUCGACGAACUGACGAGACAGGUAAUGGUACUGCUCCCUUCCAGCCCUUUACAGGGACAGCUCUGUGCUCUGGCCGCCUGCCCCACACCUGGCUCUCAGGCUCAGCCUCCCCUGUGUCUUGGAGCUACUUUGCUCCCCACACUGAGAGCUGCUGCUGCUGCUGGCUGCACGGUAAAAGCUGGGAUCAGGGUGCUCUGUGCAGAGCCAUGAGUUCCCCCUGGCUGGGCCCCAGCCAGAGGCCUGCCUGGGCUUGGCUUGGAGGCGAUGAGGCCCCUGCCAAGGAAACUUGCUUCAGACUUCUUACUGGAAGGUCCAUUCUCCAGGCCGCUGCAAACUGGAGCUCUGCAGAGCCUGGCUGCUCAGGGCGACGAUCUUGACUGCCUGUCCAGGCUGUUCUACAGCAGACACGUUGGCUGGCAAACACUGGGAUCAGGCAGAGCCCAAAGUCCAUCUUUGCUGUGUCUCUGGAGUGCAGUUCUUGGUAACUUCCCUGCUCCACACCCCAUCUCCUUGUCUUUGUGCUCACUGCUGUCUCUCCAUUCCCUGUUUUUGCCCAGAAAUUUUCUGUUGACACGGAUGAAAUUGACAGCCAUGCCGUGGGGAAGAUUAACAG
RNAcentral lists this long non-coding RNA (1024 nucleotides) under Coturnix japonica (Japanese quail). RNAcentral describes it as "lncRNA (ENSCJPG00005000458.1)". Lineage: Eukaryota; Metazoa; Chordata; Aves; Galliformes; Phasianidae. The record is from RNAcentral.